ACACUGUGGUACCUUGUGGUAUGCACAUAAUAAAUUAUUGUAUUACUCUAUUACGUUUAGCGUGUAUGUUUACAUUGAGUAUCUGUCAUAUGCGGAGAUAUUGUUAUUGUUGUCUGGAGUGUGAAUCAUUGUAUGUAAUAUUGAAGUAUCGGUAAUAAAGUGUAUACAAAUAAUGAAUACAGUUGUUGAAUAAUCAUUACAGAGAAAGAUUCUCACAUUGGCGACGAGAACGGUGAACAGUGCAUGUGAAAUUAGUUUAAUUUCGGCUCGGGAAGUGUUGUCUUUGGAAAAAGAAUGAGAUGAGUGGUGUGUGUGUGUGUGGUGCAUGCAGGGUGGUGAUGACCUCCAGGUGAUGACUUGUGAAUGAAUUUCAACAUUGAAAUCAAAAAGGUACAACCACAAGUAACGGCCAAGUAAUUUACCAAAAUGCCGAGCAGAGAUGGAUGACCAAAUGGAUGACUGUACUUCUAAUUCUGAUGUGAGACUGAAGCGAGACGUUCAUAAACUGAGGAGACUAUAAGCGAAACAACGUGGAGUGACCUUGCUGCGGAUCUGGAGAAAAAACGAGAUGUGGUACCUUGUGGUAUGCACAUAAUAAAUUAUUGUAUUACUCUAUUACGUUUAGCGUGUAUGUUUACAUUGAGUAUCUGUCAUAUGCGGAGAUAUUGUUAUUGUUGUCUGGAGUGUGAAUCAUUGUAUGUAAUAUUGAAGUAUCGGUAAUAAAGUGUAUACAAAUAAUGAA
Aedes albopictus (Asian tiger mosquito) is the source of this 742-nucleotide long non-coding RNA. RefSeq lists it as uncharacterized. The record is from RefSeq and is a predicted model, not a curated record. The transcript has 2 exons. Lineage: Eukaryota; Metazoa; Arthropoda; Insecta; Diptera; Culicidae.